This is a non-coding RNA of Vicia faba (fava bean), 213 nucleotides long. The record is from the annotation of a GenBank genome assembly. NCBI's taxonomy places the organism in Eukaryota, Viridiplantae, Streptophyta, Magnoliopsida, Fabales, Fabaceae.
AUGGGUCUGGGAACAGGUGGUGUAUUGCAAAGCGUCCGAGAUUCACAAAACCAUAAUGAAGCGGAAAUAUCACCAUUUGGAGAUGCGAAGAUGAUGAAGAUGUGUAGCAGGGAGAUUGAGAAAGAGAGAAGGAGCAAUGAAUCUGAAUUGAAUGCAGAUCUGGACUGUUGGAUAAUUGAUGCAGGGCUGCAGUUUGAGACCAUUUUGAUAUAA